GAUGAACGCUGGCGGCGUGCCUAAUACAUGCAAGUCGAGCGAACGGACGAGAAGCUUGCUUUUCUGAUGUUAGCGGCGGACGGGUGAGUAACACGUGGAUAACCUACCUAUAAGACUGGGAUAACUUCGGGAAACCGGAGCUAAUACCGGAUAAUAUUUUGAACAGCAUGGUUCAAAAGUGAAAGACGGUCUUGCUGUCACUUAUAGAUGGAUCCGCGCUGCAUUAGCUAGUUGGUAAGGUAACGGCUUACCAAGGCAACGAUGCAUAGCCGACCUGAGAGGGUGAUCGGCCACACUGGAACUGAGACACGGUCCAGACUCCUACGGGAGGCAGCAGUAGGGAAUCUUCCGCAAUGGGCGAAAGCCUGACGGAGCAACGCCGCGUGAGGGAUGAAGGUCUUCGGAUCGUAAAACUCUGUUAGUAGGGAAGAACAUAUGUGUAAGUAACUGUGCACAUCUUGACGGUACCUAAUCAGAAAGCCACGGCUAACUACGUG
RNAcentral lists this ribosomal RNA (497 nucleotides) under uncultured bacterium. RNAcentral's name for it is "partial 16S ribosomal RNA". It matches the Rfam family "Bacterial small subunit ribosomal RNA", at positions 28 to 507 of the family's 1533-position model. The record is from RNAcentral.